RNAcentral lists this ribosomal RNA (197 nucleotides) under uncultured bacterium. RNAcentral's name for it is "partial 16S ribosomal RNA". It matches the Rfam family "Bacterial small subunit ribosomal RNA", at positions 328 to 539 of the family's 1533-position model. The record is from RNAcentral.
ACGCUCGACACCUACGGGAGGCAGCAGUCGGGAAUAUUGCACAAUGGAGGAAACUCUGAUGCAGUGACGCCGCGUGCAGGAAGAAGGUUUUCGGAUUGUAAACUGCUUUAGACAGGGAAGAGAAAGGACAGUACCUGUAGAAUAAGCUCCGGCUAACUACGUGCCACAGCCGCGGUAAUCUGAGCGGCUGGCAAGGC